RNAcentral lists this transfer RNA (73 nucleotides) under Canis lupus familiaris (dog). It matches the Rfam family "tRNA". From Rfam's summary of the family: Transfer RNA (tRNA) molecules are approximately 80 nucleotides in length. Their secondary structure includes four short double-helical elements and three loops (D, anti-codon, and T loops). Further hydrogen bonds mediate the characteristic L-shaped molecular structure. tRNAs have two regions of fundamental functional importance: the anti-codon, which is responsible for specific mRNA codon recognition, and the 3' end, to which the tRNAs corresponding amino acid is attached (by aminoacyl-tRNA synthetases). tRNAs cope with the degeneracy of the genetic code in two manners: having more than one tRNA (with a specific anti-codon) for a particular amino acid; and 'wobble' base-pairing, i.e. permitting non-standard base-pairing at the 3rd anti-codon position. Lineage: Eukaryota; Metazoa; Chordata; Mammalia; Carnivora; Canidae. The record is from Rfam by way of RNAcentral. RNAcentral also lists the same sequence under 3 other names.
GCCUGGCUGGCUCAGUUGGUAGAGCACGUGACUCUUGAUCUCAGGGUUGUGAGUUUGAGCCACACACUGGGUG